AAAGAUUUUGGGGCCGGCAUCUUUGUUAGCAAAGUCCACUGGAACGUGGCACCACAGAGGGUGAUAGUCCCGUUUUGACAAAGGCCCAACCCAAAUUCCAAGAGUCGAGUUGUUUGGGAAUGCAGCUCUAAAUGGGUGGUAAAUUCCAUCUAAAGCUAAAUAUUGGCGAGAGACCGAUAGCGAACAAGUACAGUGAUGGAAAGAUGAAAAGCACUUUGAAAAGAGAGUGAAAUAGUACGUGAAAUUGCUGAAAGGGAAGGGCUUGCAGGCGGACACAAGUUGCAAAACUUGGGCUGGCAUCAGGGAGAGCGGAGAAAUAUUGGGAGCGUUGUUAGCCCUUUGGGCCCGGGCGCGCCAGGCUUCUCCCGUUUUCCCUGAGGACCGCUUCUUACAGGAUGCCGGCGUAAUGGUUGCAAGCCGCCCGUCUUGAAA
This 432-nucleotide ribosomal RNA is filed under the name uncultured fungus. RNAcentral's name for it is "eukaryotic LSU rRNA". It matches the Rfam family "Eukaryotic large subunit ribosomal RNA", at positions 151 to 659 of the family's 3401-position model. The record is from RNAcentral. Lineage: Eukaryota; Fungi.